ACGUAGGGUGCGAGCGUUAAUCGGAAUUACUGGGCGUAAAGCGUGCGCAGGCGGUUUUGUAAGACAGGCGUGAAAUCCCCGGGCUCAACCCGGGAACUGCGUUUGUGACUGCAAGGCUAGAGUACGGUAGAGGGGGGUGGAAUUUCACGUGUAGCAGUGAAAUGCGUAGAGAUGAGGAGGAACACCAAUGGCGAAGGGAGCCCCCUGGAUCGAUACUGACGCUCAUGCACGAAAGCGUGGGUAGCAAACAG
This 251-nucleotide ribosomal RNA is filed under the name uncultured prokaryote. Its description in RNAcentral is "partial 16S rRNA". It matches the Rfam family "Bacterial small subunit ribosomal RNA", at positions 525 to 775 of the family's 1533-position model. The record is from RNAcentral.